RNAcentral lists this ribosomal RNA (420 nucleotides) under Acanthamoeba culbertsoni. RNAcentral's name for it is "partial small subunit ribosomal RNA". The stretch from base 1 to 347 matches the Rfam family "Eukaryotic small subunit ribosomal RNA", at positions 782 to 1115 of the family's 1831-position model. The record is from RNAcentral. Lineage: Eukaryota; Discosea; Longamoebia; Acanthamoebidae.
CGAUUUUCUGCCACCGAAUACAUUAGCAUGGGAUAAUGGAAUAGGACCCUGUCCUCCUAUUUUCAGUUGGUUUUGGCAGCGCGAGGACUAGGGUAAUGAUUAAUAGGGAUAGUUGGGGGCAUUAAUAUUUAAUUGUCAGAGGUGAAAUUCUUGGAUUUAUGAAAGAUUAACUUCUGCGAAAGCAUCUGCCAAGGAUGUUUUCAUUAAUCAAGAACGAAAGUUAGGGGAUCGAAGACGAUCAGAUACCGUCGUAGUCUUAACCAUAAACGAUGCCGACCAGCGAUUAGGAGACGUUGAAUACAAAACACCACCAUCGGUUGCGCCGUCCUCCUUGGCGUCUCGGUUUCCGCCGGGGGGCGGGGAUGGCUUAUCCCGGUGGCGCCGCUGAAUGAUUCCCCCCCCACUUGUGGAGAAAAAAAA